RNAcentral lists this ribosomal RNA (383 nucleotides) under uncultured eukaryote. Its description in RNAcentral is "partial small subunit ribosomal RNA". It matches the Rfam family "Eukaryotic small subunit ribosomal RNA", at positions 587 to 972 of the family's 1831-position model. The record is from RNAcentral.
AGUUCCAAUAGCAUAUAUUAAAGUUGUUGCAGUUAAAAAGCUUGUAGUUGAACUUGUGGCCUGGAUGGCACAGUCUGACGCUUAUGCAUGAGUACCUGAGCCAUUCAACUAUCCUUGGGUGGAACCUGUGUGGCAUUAAGUUGUCGUGUAGGGGAUGCCCAUUGUUUACUUUGAAAAAUUAGAGUGUUCAAAGCAGGCUUAUGCCUUUGAAUAUAUUAGCAUGGAAUAAUGAUAUAGGACUUUGGUACUAUUUUUUUGCUUUGUGCACUAAAGUAAUGAUUAGUAGGGACAGUUGGGGAUAUUAGUUUUUUUAGGUCAGUGGUGAAAUUCUUGGAUUCUUUAAAGACUAACUACUGCAAAAGCAUUUAUCAAGGAUGUUUUCA